Molecule: ribosomal RNA, 298 nt
Filed under: uncultured bacterium
Lineage: Bacteria
Description: partial 16S ribosomal RNA
Rfam family: Bacterial small subunit ribosomal RNA
Source: RNAcentral
GGUAGUCCACGCCGUAAACGAUGGCCACUAGGUGUGGGGGGUAUCGACCCCCUCCGCGCCGCAGCUAACGCGUUAAGUGGCCCGCCUGGGGAGUACGGCCGCAAGGCUAAAACUCAAAGGAAUUGACGGGGGCCCGCACAAGCAGCGGAGCGUGUGGUUUAAUUCGACGCAACGCGAAGAACCUUACCAGGGCUUGACAUGGCCGGAAAAGCGCGUGAAAGCGCGUGUGCCCGCAAGGGCGUCGGUCACAGGUGCUGCACGGCUGUCGUCAGCUCGUGCCGUGAGGUGUUGGGUUAAG